Molecule: long non-coding RNA, 314 nt
Filed under: Zonotrichia albicollis (white-throated sparrow)
Lineage: Eukaryota; Metazoa; Chordata; Aves; Passeriformes; Passerellidae
Description: lncRNA (ENSZALG00000003346.1)
Source: RNAcentral
GCUCACCUCCUGCACCAGGAGCUGCCACAAACAGAACCCACAGCUGGGCCGGGCCAUCAGUGUGUGCCCAGCAGAGCUCUGUGCUCCCCUCAGAGCAGCUCAGAUGUCACCUGGAGCAAGCUGAAUGUCUCCUGAGCGACUUAAAUCCAUCACCAGCUCUGGAAACAGACUCUGAGCAAGUACCAGUCAACACUUUAAUUGAAAAUAAACGCUGUAAAUCCAGGGAAACCUCUCUGUUCAACAUCAAUUACUGGACAAACCCAAAGGUGUUUGAGCCCAGGUGAGCAUUCCCAGACGUGGUGGGCAUUUCUGCU